GACGAACGCUGGCGGCGUGCCUAAUACAUGCAAGUAGAACGCUGAAGGAGGAGCUUGCUUCUCUGGAUGAGUUGCGAACGGGUGAGUAACGCGUAGGUAACCUGCCUGGUAGCGGGGGAUAACUAUUGGAAACGAUGGCUAAUACCGCAUAAUAGUAGAUGUUGCAUGACAUUUGCUUAAAAGGUGCAAUUGCAUCACUACCAGAUGGACCUGCGUUGUAUUAGCUAGUUGGUGGGGUAACGGCUCACCGAGGCGACGAUACAUAGCCGACCUGAGAGGGUGAUCGGCCACACUGGGACUGAGACACGGCCCAGACUCCUACGGGAGGCAGCAGUAGGGAAUCUUCGGCAAUGGACGGAAGUCUGACCGAGCAACGCCGCGUGAGUGAAGAAGGUUUUCGGAUCGUAAAGCUCUGUUGUAAGAGAAGAACGAGUGUGAGAGUGGAAAGUUCACACUGUGACGGUAUCUUACCAGAAAGGGACGGCUAACUACGUG
Molecule: ribosomal RNA, 495 nt
Filed under: uncultured bacterium
Lineage: Bacteria
Description: partial 16S ribosomal RNA
Rfam family: Bacterial small subunit ribosomal RNA
Source: RNAcentral